RNAcentral lists this ribosomal RNA (428 nucleotides) under uncultured bacterium. RNAcentral describes it as "partial 16S ribosomal RNA". It matches the Rfam family "Bacterial small subunit ribosomal RNA", at positions 354 to 796 of the family's 1533-position model. The record is from RNAcentral.
GUAGGGAAUAUUGCACAAUGGAGGAAACUCUGAUGCAGCGACGCCGCGUGAGUGAUGAAGGCCUUCGGGUCGUAAAGCUCUGUCGUAUGGGACUAACACAAUGAAGGUACCAUGCAAGAAAGGAUCGGCUAACUUCGUGCCAGCAGCCGCGGUAAGACGAGGGAUCCUAGCGUUGUUCGGAAUUAUUGGGCGUAAAGCGGGUGUAGGCGGAUUUAUAAGUCAGGUGUGAAAUCCCAGGGCUCAACCCUGGAAGUGCACUUGAUACUGUAAGUCUUGAGUGUGGUAGAGGCUAUUAGAAUUCUUGGUGUAGUGGUGAAAUACGUAGAUAUCAAGAGGAAUACCGGAGGCGAAGGCGGAUAGCUGGGCCAACACUGACGCUGAGACCCGAAAGCGUGGGGAUCAAACAGGAUUAGAAACCCCUGUAGUCC